GCCUACGGGGCGCAGCAGUGGGGAAUAUUGGGCAAUGGGCGCAAGCCUGACCCAGCAACGCCGCGUGAAGGAAGAAGGCUUUCGGGUUGUAAACUUCUUUUAAGAGGGAAGAGUAGAAGACGGUACCUCUUGAAUAAGCCACGGCUAACUACGUGCCAGCAGCAGCGGUAAUACGUAGGUGGCAAGCGUUGUACGGAUUUACUGGGGGUAAAGGGCGUGUAGCCGGGCCGGCAAGUCAGAUGUGAAAUCCGUAGGCUCAACCUUGGAACUGCAUUUGAAACUAUUGGUCGUGAGUAUCGGAGAAG
RNAcentral lists this ribosomal RNA (305 nucleotides) under uncultured bacterium. RNAcentral's name for it is "bacterial SSU rRNA". It matches the Rfam family "Bacterial small subunit ribosomal RNA", at positions 337 to 657 of the family's 1533-position model. The record is from RNAcentral.